CAACUUCCGCGAGAUUUGACAAAAUAUCAAAGAUGGCCGCAAGCAGAAAAACACAAAAAAGUCGUUCUCGUAGAAGAUUAGCUGCCAUCAGUUUCCUUUCCAAUAUUUCGUUGGAUGGAACUCACACAGACACAAAGUUUCCACUUUUUAACAGAAAACAUCACAGGUUAAAAGACGUAUGUGUAAAUGACUCGAAAUCUGCUGACGUUAGUCCCGAGGCUCAAAACAGUGCGUGUGUCAGAACAGAACGAUCGGCGUUUGACAACCAGGACGAAAACGUCAACGAUGAAAACGUAAACACACAGAACAGUCACAACAACCAUGUUGAUCGGGAUCAUAGACAAUCUGAGAAGGGACCUGAGUCGCCGUCAAAACGAUGGAGAGCCUCCUCCUGCUCUGAUGACCGAGACAAGUAUGUGAAGCGCAAGUUGAUGCCUUCCACCAGUAUCCCAUGGUCAACCCCCCAGGCCACAGCUCAUGACCCUGCUGAUAAGAUAGGAGAGCGUCUGGCUCGAAGGUCCAGCUCCAUGUCCGGCGACUCGGCAGAAUCCUCAGCCUUAAGAGAAGUGCGCUUCCUGUCUGGCAACUCGACAAGUUCCAUCAGGGGUGGACGUGUGGUGAUAGUGACUGGGAUGAAGGCGCCUGUCGCCAUGUGCUCUGUGGUGCCCUACAGGCGGUCAGCAAACAGAGGUGAAGGUCACAGUGAAGAAGGUCGCACACGGCACCACUCAGGUCACUCUGGGUCAAGGUCAGUGUCAUCUCAAGAUGGACUGCUGUAUGUAGGACUGCAAGCAAUAGUCAAGGUUGAAGAGGGUCAGGACGUGUCCUACAGUGAGUUUUUGGUUCCGUCCCGUCCUCUGGUAUUGAAGAGGACAUGUUCAGAAAUACCCCACUCUGAAUCGGUUCUUCUUCCCCCAGCUGCAGGCCGGGAGUACUUGCGGAGUCACUCACAUGACCCUAGCAUGUUUUUCCAGCGUUCGGGGCUGUUCUCUGCCCUGGAGAGAGUCCCGGAAGAGAACACGGACUUCUACGACCCCAACCUCCUGGACGACCCCGAGUUGCAGUCUGGGAGCUACAGGACUCUGAUGACUUUCCCCUCCUAUGUGACCUCUGUCAUUGAGUACGUCAAGCCCUCCAGCCUCAAGAAGGAGCUCAAUGAGAAAUUCAAGGACAAGUUCCCCAACAUUCAGCUCAGCCUCUCCAAACUGCGCAGCAUCAAGAGGGAAAUGAGGAACAUCUCUAUGGUCAAGUGUGGUGUUGAUAUGUGGACUCUGGCCCAAGCUCAUGUCUUUUUUGAAAAACUUAUUCUCAAGCCUGUCAUCAACAAGCAGAACCGGAAGCUUUGUGCAGCUGCUUGUCUGGUGCUGUCAGCGAAACUCAAUGAUGUCAAAGGGGCUGAGCUCACAAAACUCUUUGAGCAAAUAGAAGAUGACUUUCGACUGCAUCGCAAGGAGCUGAUGGCGUUUGAGUUUGCAUGUCUGGUUGCCCUGGAGUUCUCACUGCACAUCCCAGACAGCGAGGUGUACCCGCACUACCAGCGUCUGCUGUACCGCUCAUGACACUGGCCUCGGUGACCACCCUUAAACAAAUAGACACACAGGGAACGGGGGCUGGCAAAAACUCAAUGGACAGCCUCCAACAAUGAAUUUGUGUUGUCAAAACACAAAACUCAGUUCUUUUCCAAGUUAUAUACACUUGGAAAAAAGUUAAGCACCACACCUUCUUUAGUUUUAUAUAUCACAACCCUCUACAUGAUGUUAACAUCAUUUUGACUUCAAGCCUAGAACAAGAACACUCUAUGGUACUCAGGAAGAACGCAAGGACUGGUCAUAGUAUACGAUGCAAAGAACCUGAGGAAACAGUUAGAUGACUAGUCAGAUAGUUGUUACAAAACAUGUUAUUACAUGAUUGAUUUUGGUUUCUUGAAUUCAAUGUGUGUAACUUCUACACAAAAGGAUGUCUUGUCCAAAUAUAUAUACAGGAUAGGAUUUUAUGAAAUGGCUACUUUAUGUCGAUAUAUAUGGUUAGUGGUGCAAAAUUAUUUUCCAGGUAUAUAGAGUUAUCUGCCCUUUUGACUUUGGAAUCAAAUACAUCAGCAGGACACUAAAUACUGAUUCUUGUCUAUGACGUAUCAGUAUCUGAUUAAGCAAUUGAAAUCAUCUAUGCUUAAUUUUGUGUCGUAGAAUUUUUUUCUAGAAAUGCUGACAAAUAUUGCUACAUGAAAGUACAUAUGUCCGCUUCAGCAACUAUGAAAUGUUGUUGAAAAAGUCGAGAGUAUUUCCUGAGCUCCUUGCCCAGCCCUGUUGUGUCGCUCUGUGUCUAUCCUAUUGUCCGAAGUGGUCACCUUUGACCAGGCCCUGCUGUGGAGCCAGGCACAGCAAUAAGGGUCUGACAUCGAUCACAGACUCCGUGACCCCGGCUACUCAUCACCUCACCUAGAGGUCAUGUUGCUAAAGAACUGGUCAUUUAUGAUAGCAGUGGGUGGGCCGUCGAAAUUUGUCUUUAAGAUGGCUUCAUAUUUUCUGCAUCAUAUUUUUGUCAUUAUUUAGAUAAUGUUCAAAUUUAAAAAAAAAAUUGUUGAAAAAAUAGAACUAAUUUUUUCAUGACCACCCCCCACCCACACCCCCACCUCAAGUCUCUCUAACCCACCCCCCACACCUACAAUAAAUGACCAGCUCCUAAUUACAAAAUGUAAUGUAUCUGUCUGUCCCACCAGCAUAUGAUGCAGGUGGGGCUGUUGCGAUCAGUAGCAGUCAAAACUUGCCUACUAGUCUAUGAUCAAUGGUGUCUACCCUGCUGAACCUACUGGACCAAAGAUGAUUUUACAAGACUCUGGCUUUGGACUUCUGGAUGAAGUCAGAGACUACUGGAUCAGUCAGAGAUUACUGGAUCAGUCAGAGACUACUGGACAAGUCAGAGACUACUGGAUCAGUCACAGACAACUGGACAAGUCAGAGACUACUGGAUCAGUCACAGACAACUGGAGAAGUCAGAGACUUCUGUAAGACUGUGUUUCUGGAGUAUAUCUCCAAGACAGGUCAAUAUAUCUCCACCAAACUUUGCAUACAUAUCAACAUCAAGGUUAUUAUUAAGGAUAUCAAUGGAAAUUACAGCAAGUCGUAAUUUCUAAUAUUUUAAGAUUGCAAUUAUUAACUUGUUAGUGUGGGUAUCACGUGAGAUAUACGGAAAACUUACCAAACAUUGUUACGGUGUUACUGACAGUGCUUUGUUGCUGGAGGCGUCCCGUGAAGAUCUGGGUUAGAAAAGGUCGUAAUAGGUAACUAACAGGAUCAGGUGGUCAGGCACGCCGUCUUGGUUGAUGCAUGUGAUCGUAUCCCAAUUGCAUGGAUCGAUGCUCAUGAAAUCAAUCACAGGAUUGUCUGGUCCAGAUUUGAUUAUUUACAGAAAGCCAUCGUAUAGCUGGAAUAUUGCUGAGUGUGGCAUUAGACAACAAACUAACAUUGCUGGAGGUGCAAGGGUAGCCUUGUCAGAGGGCCCUAGUGUGGAUUCCUAGAAUUAUCCUGAUUCAGCUUGAAAGUAUGUGUACCUUGUCUUUGAGUGAGAGGACAGUAUAGCCAUACUUUGCGUAAGGUGAACGUAUCAUUUAACACACCCUAUUCUAGGCUCUGUAUCCUCUGUGUAAUGUCACACAAUAGUUGCACAGACUACAUGAAGAAAUAAAACAAGUAGUACUCUGGGAAUUUCUGGGGAGGAAAAAGACAGGAGUCUUUUUAAUGGUGUUGAUUUUUGCUGUAAAAAUAUGUACUGCCCUGCCAUCCUUCUUGGCAUUGAUGAGACGCUGUCACUCAAGUGUUGUUGCUGAUGCUAAUGCUGCCCAAACACCAAAUUGUUUUUUAGCUUUAUGACUUGUUAUGACUUGAACCCUUGCAGCAGUUUAUUGUAUGCUGACGUAUUAAUGGUCUCUGUGACAAGAUUCAAACGCCAGUUCUUUCUGCAUAUUGUUUGAUGAUGAAUGUACUGAUAUUAGCUAUAUUAAUGGAUGAUUUAUUUCAAUGCCUAGUGUCAAGAGUUAUGUCAGUUAGGCCUCAUUUACAUUUUGGCAUAGUUGACAGAAGUCAGAUUUUGGCUUUCUGAAAUAUUUCCGACAUGUCCUGUCAUCAGUACUUCCUGGGUUUGUAUAAACCUCUUUUCUCCAACACCCGUGAGUACAGAGGCUAUACAGUGUAGUGAUGGUCAAGUUUCAAGUCCAUGACACAAGGUUUUUUAGAACUCCUAAAGUCAACUGAGCCCCACCCUGGGCAUGUAUGCUAUGUGAAUCUUACCCUUGCCGCAUGUUGAAGACUGUGAGAGUAGAUGACGGCAAGGCUGUAGCACGUGUUGCACGGUAUAUAUUAUAAGUUGUAGCAGCCUCUGGCUCGUGGUAUAAAACCUAAUGAGGAGUGCAUAAAACCCCAUGUACCCCUAGUGAUCCUGUUAUAAUGAAGUUAUCUUACCGACAUGUCUUAACAUGACAUUGUAAAGGAAUUAAAACAAAUUCAAAAUAGAUAGAAAUCCGCUUUUGAUUGAGCCGAGGUUAGCUUGUGCUUUGUCACGUGACUUUCAUUGAGUCAGAAAAAGCUUUUUUCUUCGAAGUGAGGUGUGAGUGAUUUAUCCUGCCUCUCAGAAAUCCACUGGCAGACUGUGUUGCUCGUGGCAGACUAUAAGGGAUUUAUUCUCCUGCUGAGAAACUGAUUUCCCUCCAGGGCGGGAUACAUAGUAUUUUAUCAAGAUCACGUGGCCCAAUCAGAUCUCAUCAUUCUGACAUGGAGGUAUGAUAAUACCAUUUGUGGGAAGUAAUCUGAGCCCUCAUUGGUCAGAGCCCUGGAACCAUGCUGCGGUUUAAUUUGUUGGUUAAAAGUACCGGUAGUGACUGACACAUUUCAGCUGUAUGUCAUGGGUGACAGAGAAAUACUGUGUUUACAAACCCCAAGUAUUGAUGACACCCUGCAACUUGUUACAUGUAUUAGUUAAUUUAUUCAACUGUGUUUGUUGUUUGUUUUGGAAAACUCCCAAGAGUAACAAAGUGAAACAAAGUUUCACAAGUUGUGUUUUUUUCACUUAGAAUGUAGAAGAGUUUGAUAGGAAUAUCAUCGGUAGUGAAAUUGGUUUUAUUUUGUUUAGUUAAAAGUUUUUAUCUCGGGAAAAAGUCCUAAGAAGGACAAAGUGCAACAAAGUUAACAUAGUAAGCUAGAGUUUCACAAGUUGAACAUAUUCACUUAGAACAUAGAAGAGUUUGAUUGGAAUUUAGUUGGUAGUGAAAUUGGUAUUAUUUAGUUUAGUUAAAAGUGUUGCCGUCUCCUUCUGUUCUCCCUCCAGCAUCAAGCCAAGAUUGUUGUUUUAAUGUACCUGCCAUAUUUAUUUCUGUUACUGAGAUUACUUACUAUUUACGUUUACAGUGUUAUAUAUUGUUGUCAUACUUAGAUUGUGCUGUUGCACCUUGUGAUCUCACGUUACUGUAGGGCAACAGGGAGGGAGCUGACCUGGGGGAGGGGCAAGGGGGUCCUCAAGUGGAUGAUGUUUGGGAGAGGAGAGAUCCUUUCUCAUUAGACUUUAAUUAUGUAUUCUGGAAUAUCGAGAUGGAAUUUUGUAUUUUUUUGUGAUAUUUUGAGCUGGUUGAAUUUUUAGAUAUAUUGAAAUGUUAAACGAAAUAGAAAUAUGGAAUGGCAAAACAGUGUUUAAAAUUAAGCGCACAAUUCUCGGGGUCUUUGCCAUGGGCCUAAUGGUAAAGAUUAAAGGGGUUCUCAGAUUCAAAUAUUAUUGGAGCAAACUAUAAGGACCCCUUUAAUUUUGAAUAACUGCGUUAUUAAUGUUUUUGAAAGGUAUGUAUUAAUAACUGUCAUACCACAUCUUGACCAUACUGAAUAUUUUUUUGCAUUUAAUAUUUAAUUUUGUUUGCAAAUUUUUCUGAUGUGACUUUUCCAUGUCUGACUACAAAAGAUAUUGAGUCUUGUUAUAAUGUAUACUGCUGUUCCAAAUACUCGGCUAAAGAUGGCCCCCCCCUCUUGCCCUCCCCCUCCCUCCUGUGGACACAGGGGCCAUAACUCUGUACCGUGCGAUCUCACUUGAACACUAGUCACCUUGUGAAACCAGGCAAGACAGUCGCGCAACUCGACUAACAACCUCAGUGUUGUCACUUAUAUCAGGAAAACAAUUUUCCAUUAUUGACAGAGACCAAAUAAACUCAGGGGCAGAGCCAGGCGUUUGAGGAUGGCACACCAUCCAAACAUCCCUUCUAACAUCUUCCUGAGGCAAGGGAAUUAACUGACUAUAAAAGUCCAGUUUCCACCCUUGCCAAACUAGGCUAGAAUUAUGGAGUUAUAUUUCGGCUGGACUAACAAGUCUAUGCAUAGACCUAUUUCGCAUAACGAAAUCGACCUUCAGUUUGUAUUAUGCUGUGCAGAUAAUUGUCGAUUGCAGGAUUUGCAAAGCAUGUAUAUCCUCAACUCUGCGUGUGAUCACGUGAUUCGAUGCACUUUGCGAAGUAAGACCUGGUUCAUUUCAAUAUAGAUUUUGAUUAUCGAUCAGAUCGUCCUGACUGGGCAUCACCAUUUUGUUUGAAGCAAAUGCAAGUGAUAUGUGAAGUAGAAUCUGAUUGGUCAAUAGGAGGGACAUAGAAGGGACAUCACUCGUAAUAGCCACUGGUUGCGCUCUGAUCAAGCCCAGCAAUUCCAUCCCAGUACGGCAAGGGUGGAAACUGGACUUUUACGGUCAGUGAACUCACCUGCCUCGGGAAGAUGCCCUUCUAAGGGACACAACUCAUGCAGACUCAGUGUGCAGAAUAUCUUGUAUUGUCUUCCCUUGGUUCUGUCUGUCAAGGUUGCUUUAUGUUUACAAAUGAUAUGGAAUAUUACAGUGAAAUGUUGAGCCUGAAUAAUGGUUUUCUGUACAUGAAUCGCUCAUAAUAUUUCUGGGUCACAAGGUAUUGGCGGAACCAGAAGCAGCAGUAGAUCACUACAUAGAGCAUUAUCAUGGACCACUUCACCAGUGUCAGGACGUCAGGGUUCUGCCAUUGUAUAAUGGGUGUCAAACACGACAUGACAUCAUUACAGUUGUGUCAUUCACAAUCUUGGUAGGAUGUAAAACAAAUAUGAAUAUUAUUUGGUGUGUAUUACAUUUUCUAAAACAAGGCCAGACAUGGCUGGAUUCACUGUGUAGAUUUGCAUCCCUUUGGUGUGCCAGGAUCCUUGAUGCAACGAAAAUUCUCAUACAUGUAAAGGGGAGUCCUCCUCCUUCUCACUAGCAUUACAAUUUACACAGAUUAUGACAGUGUAUUGUGUAUUGUUGAACUUGACAGUGGGUACAAGAUAACAUGUUUGUAUCAUCCUAAGAACUUUUGUAGGUCUGUUAAAUUGCCCCUCUUGCAAAAUGCUGUAUCUGGCCUCGUUCCACAAAGCGCUCUUAGUGCUAGGGUGAUCCUAACAUAGACUUACAACAGUCGUAGUGCGAAGUUGAUCGUAACUCCCAUUCCAUAACAUAGACUUACAACAGUUGUAUCAGUAUCACUGAAGUGAUCGUAACUCCCACACAUUAUUAUAGACUUCCGACAGUCGUAGCUCUAAGGUUGCUUUGUUGAACUGGGCCCAGGGCAUUAAUUGGUUCAAUACGGUGUAUGUGUUGAUUUGCCAUCAAUAUUAUUUUGUGUCUUUCUAAUCUCCAUGCUCAGCUACAUUCUGUAAAUGAUCGGCCAUUUCCCUGAAAAUUUGCUGUAAUAGAAAGGUGUGAGGUUGGCCGACAGGCUCAACUUUAGGGGCAUCAGAAAGUAUAAUGAUACAAUAAUAUCAUUUUAUUAAACAUACCACUGUCUCAAGAAUUUUAAACAUUUUCCAAAAGUGAAUGACCGGGAUGGUUAAAUUAAUAAGGACCACAGGAGACGAGAAACACACAAACCUACCAAUGACCUUGAGCGAGACCUUAGAAGUUCUUGAAGGUUAAUGAAUACAUAUACAUCAUCAUCAUAGAUUGUUACCCUUCUGUAUGUGUGACGUUGGGACUGGGUAUCGGUGAAGUUAGACGCGAUGUAUUCGGAUACAUCAACGUGCAUCAUGUAUUGACAAUGUAUGAAGGACGGAAUCAACAUGUGACUUGAUUCGGACUUCAUGGAAACUCAUGUCAUGUUUAACCUCCAUUAAGAUGACCAACAAGUACACAGAAGUGUGUACUUGUGAUGUUUCAUUACCUUUUAACCAUUCGGAGUAUUUGUCCGGUGAGCGAAAGACAACUACCUGUUUGUAGGCGUUGACGAAUACACAGAUUUACUGUAUGUUCUGUAGCUUACACAGGCUGUGUAUCAUACCUUUCUUGAUUUAUCAUCAUACUGUGCUGUGAAUAUGUAUGUACAUAGUCAAGAUUGGCACUAUCUCAUAGCCCUCGUAUAUAGCAUUGUACUACUGUGCCCAAGUCAAGGGAAAAUGCAGUCUCAUUUUCAGAUCUUUUCUCCGAUACGCAUCCUAUCCGCAUGAAGACACUUCGCAUCAGGUAACUUUCCAAUCAGCUAAUCAGCACUGAGGCUUCAUAAUUCUUGGUAUGAGUGAGAGAAGCAUUCAAACAUAUCUGAAUUCUGUAUUUCGAAAACGAGUAUGAUUGGGAAGUUCUGAAUACAAAUAAAUUUUUGUUAUGGUAAUAUAUUGUUCUGGAUAUUUUUCUAUAUCCUGUUGUUUCUGAGUAUUAUGGCAUCUACACCCAAAAGGGGUAUUUUUGUGGGGGUUGCCUUAGGCUAAGAUCCAUUUAUGCACUGAGGUAGUAAGGAAAUGAAGCCAAAUUGUUUUUGGAAGCCGACAUCUGAUUGGAUGAAGAGCCCACACAGAUCAGUCAAAAGAUUGCUCAGGGUUCAUCUGAUGGGAUCUCCUAUGGAGGUAUGCUCAGAUGUUUAUGCGGAGGGGUAUUGUAUCGGAGUAAAAGAUCUAAAUUUUACUAGACUGGUCAAAAUGUGACAUUUCUGUGCAUGAUAUGAUUGUCUUUUUUAUUCAAUGGAGGAAAUUACAAUCUGACAUUUAAUUGAUGGUUAUAAGCCUUUGCUGCAAAAUCGUACUGAUGAAAUGCAAAAUAAAUAUAAAUCCAAAAGCUACAAUUUGUCUUAAAUGGCAUGAAAGUCUGUUUGUCUGUACCAACUCGUCACCAUAAUUUCAGACAUUGUCAUGAAGUAGAGAAAAAAUUGUUUCACUAACUAUCAUUAAUUGUUGGUGUUUUAAGCAUGUUGUUACAAGGGGGUCUGCGCAAUAAACAUAACAGCUGAAGGGCAUCACGGAACACAGGGAUAGUCUCAAAACUUGUAUUCUGAAUUAUUUUCAUUGUCACUGUCAACAAAAUAAUAAUUUGACCGACAGCUGCGUGAUCUAAUCCAUCUCAUUUACAAUAUGAACCAUUAAUUUUGGUCUCAACUUUGUCAAUGCACCCCGUCUGAUGUGAAUUACCAAGGUUAUCAAAUCAUCUGUGAAUUUCAUCAUGUACCAUAUUGUAAUGAUAUAUUGAGCUUGUUUCUGUUUAUUUUAUUAUUUGCAUUUGAAAUUAGAUGAAUAGCAAUACCAAGAACAUCACUAACAUUGAUUUGAGAAUAGUUUACAGAUUCUUCUUGUAUAUUCUGUUUAAUAACUAAUACAGAAACAUAUGCUUCUGAUUUAGGCUUUUCUUUUGACAUGAUUUUAUGACAAAAAAGUAGUAGGUUGGCCUAACACUCUCGAAUGUAGGGCUGUUCUGUUUACAGUGCAGACCCCCUUGUAACAACAGGCAUUAAAAUACCAACAAUUACAUGAGAGCUUCUAAAACAACUUUUUCUACCCUUCAUGACAAUGUCUGAAAUUAUGGUGAUGAAUAGGUACGGACAAAUAAAAAACUUUCAUGCCAUUUAAGACAAAUCGUUGCUUUCAGAUAUACAUAUACUCACCAACAAAAGAAAUGCACAUACCAUACAUGUUGGUUAAUGUAUGAAGAAUUACUCAUCUUCAAGAGAUAUUAGAUUGAUUUGACGCACAAAUGAACUGGUAUGUUUAGUGAACCGACAGUCAUGAACACAUCACAUGAGACGUCAUAGAUCCAUGACUGAAGAUGCACCAUUUGUCCUGAGCAGGAUUUAAAAUUUGGAAAUCACCUGCAGCAUAUAAGAAUAAAGACACGCUGUGGUAACACUUGACUGAUUGUUAGUUUUGUCAUUAGUGGUACACAUUGGAAACAUUUCUUCUAAACGUACACACUUCUCUCUAUGUUCCUAUGGUUUAGUUUCUUUUGGCGGUGAGUAUAUUUUGUAUUUCAUCAGUGUGAUUUUGCAGCAAACAAAAAUGGCUAUCACAAAUGUCUCGUCACUGUGUGACGACAAUACAUGGUUAUGUUGUUGUUGUGAUUGAUUGUCAGCCAUUACACCAUUGCUUGUUUCGUCAUGAUACAGGUGUUUUGUUGAUUUCAAUGUUUUACAGUGAUUAUUACUGAAAUCAUCUGAUACUGAAAUAUCAUUUACAAGAUGUCUGUUGAUUAAAACCAUAUCAUAUCCGAGAAUAUAUAAACAAAUGAUAAAUAUUUUAGCUAUUUUUCAAAGCAUCGUACAUGUCCGGCAUUCUGGUCUGUUGUAUUCAAGAUAAGAAUCAGCUACACAAUGCCAACUGAAAUUAAAAUUGAAUAUCAGGGAUGGACGUUAUCAUGGAAAAUCAAGCCUAAAAAUGCUGAAUGGAGAUAGCGUGUAGAAAAAUACUUAAUACCCUAAAGAAAUUUGUUAUGCAAAUUUCCUGGUACAUCUGGAGAUGAGGAAGCUAGUUUUGGACAGUCCUCAUUUCUAUCCCUGAAAUUGAAUUGAUUUUUGAAAAUUUCAGUUGUUUUACCUUUUUGUUAUUGUAAUCUGUAAACAUUUCAUCAGAAAGUGUGGUUACAUGGUCCUGUAUUCCCAUGAGAUGUGUCAUGUGUGGGAUGUCAUAUUUGUGCGAGAAAUGUCGUGAGAGGUGUGUCACAUGUCAUGUGUCACGUGUGUCAUGUGUCCGAGAGGUGUGAUGAUGCUAUGCCAAUGUGUGCUGAGCAGUGUGUGGAUUCGUCUCAAAAUGUUACUACCAGCUUAAUGUUCUGGCCAGUUUUAAGUUUCAUUACAAAUUUGUUUUCCAGAAAUUUGAUUCUGCGAAGGUAUCAAUAAAGUCAGAUAUUAUGAAGAAGGGUAACUUAUCUUGCAACCUUCAUUCGUUGCUGAUACAGUGUAUUAAUUUGAUUUUUUAGUUUUAAUGCUUGUAAUGAUCUUCAGUAACCUUUUUAUUUUGAUCAACUAAGAGGUGCCCAAAACCAACCAGGCAAGGGACAUUUCAGAAUCUUUAGACCAACUGAAUUUUUGCUAGUGACAGGCUGGUGGGCAGCGGCUAUUUCGCACAUGUCGGGAGUAUCAGGACAAGAGUCUGUGUGUGGGUUUGUUGAUACAAGAAAGCCAGGAGUGAUAUCUUGGACCAACAUAAAUGUUUAUUUUACUACAGACGAAGUUGUUAUAUCAAGAAUUUACUUAAUAUUUCUACAAUUCAAAACAUGCAGAUUGUAGACAGCUGUACUUUUUAUGUCUACAUCACUUCCAUCAAUCACAUUAAUAUUUCAAACAUAAUUGGUGUUGCUUUCAAGACAUUGCAUCGUUAGUUGGUGAAUUACCAAGAUUUUGCUUUUACCAGCUUGGUUAUUCUCAUAAACUUUCUCUGAUUUGAAAGAACAUAAAAACAUUUUCCUUGGUUCGUUAUAUGACUUUUUGUAAUGGGCUGAGUUGAGUAGCCGUGAUACAUGUAUGUCCUACUUAUAUGAACUUGUCUUGCAUGUCGUUGCUGGUAUAAUACCAUUGAAGUGGGAGGCCGAGGCCGAGGCUGGUGAGAGGCUUCUGUAUAAUACCAUUGAAGUGGGAGGCCGAGGCCGAGGCUGGUGAGAGGCUUCUGUAUAGGGCAUUGUGUUGUACAUAGCAAACGUGACUGUACAAUCAUCUGUGAUAUGCUUUUAACAGAAAAAAAUAAAAGUGUUGAAAUACU
This 11966-nucleotide unclassified non-coding RNA is filed under the name Haliotis rufescens (red abalone). Its description in RNAcentral is "cDK5 and ABL1 enzyme substrate 1-like, transcript variant X4". Lineage: Eukaryota; Metazoa; Mollusca; Gastropoda; Lepetellida; Haliotidae. The record is from RNAcentral.